GAUGAACGCUAGCUACAGGCUUAACACAUGCAAGUCGAGCGAGCGGCGGACGGGUGAGUAAUGUCUGGGAAACUGCCUGAUGGAGGGGGAUAACUACUGGACACGGUAGCUAAUACCGCAUACCAUCAGAUGUGCCCAGAUGGGAGUAGCUAGUAGGUGGGGUAACGGGUCACCUAGGCGACGAUCCCUAGCUGGUCUGAGAGGAUGACCCGCCACACUGGAACUGAGACACGGUCCAGACGCCUACGGGAGGCAGCAGUGGGGAAUAUUGCACAAUGGGCGCAAGCCUGAUGCAGCCAUGCCGCGUGUGUGAAGAAGGCCUUCGGGUUGUAAAGCACUUUCAGCGGGGAGGCGUUACCCGCAGAAGAAGCACCGGCUAACUCCGUGCCAGCAGCCGCGGUAAUUC
Molecule: ribosomal RNA, 406 nt
Filed under: uncultured bacterium
Lineage: Bacteria
Description: partial 16S ribosomal RNA
Rfam family: Bacterial small subunit ribosomal RNA
Source: RNAcentral